GUGCUCAUUUCAGCAGUACAUAUACUACAGUUGGAACAAUUCUGAGAAGAUUUGCAUGUCCCUUGUGCAAGGGCGAUACAUAAAUUCAUAAAACUUUCCAUAUUUGU
Small nuclear RNA from Perognathus longimembris pacificus (Pacific pocket mouse), 107 nucleotides. Lineage: Eukaryota; Metazoa; Chordata; Mammalia; Rodentia; Heteromyidae. The record is from RefSeq and is a predicted model, not a curated record.